Molecule: ribosomal RNA, 433 nt
Filed under: uncultured bacterium
Lineage: Bacteria
Description: partial 16S ribosomal RNA
Rfam family: Bacterial small subunit ribosomal RNA
Source: RNAcentral
AACGAACGCUGGCGGCAUGCCUAACACAUGCAAGUCGAACGAGACCUUCGGGUCUAGUUGCGCACGUGUGCGUAACGCGUGGGAACCUGCCCUUAGGUUCGGAAUAACUCCCCGAAAGGUGUGCUAAUACCGGAUAAUGUCUUCGGACCAAAGAUUUAUCGCCUUUUGAUGGGCCCGCGUUGGAUUAGCUAGUUGGUAGGGUAAAAGCCUACCAAGGAGACGAUCCAUAGCUGGUCUGAGAGGAUGAUCAGCCACACUGGGACUGAGACACGGACCAGAAUCGGACGGAAGGCAGGAGUGGGGAAUAUUGGACAAUGGGCGAAAGCCUGAUCAAGCAAUGCCGGGUGAGAGAUGAAGGCCUUAGGGUUGUAAAGCUCUUUUACACGGGAUGAGAAUGACAGUACCGGGAGAAUAAGCUCCGGCUAACUCCGUG